Molecule: unclassified non-coding RNA, 224 nt
Filed under: Hevea brasiliensis (rubber tree)
Lineage: Eukaryota; Viridiplantae; Streptophyta; Magnoliopsida; Malpighiales; Euphorbiaceae
Source: RNAcentral
CCCACAACCAAUUUUGUAUCACUAACCCAUAUUUAAUUACAUAUUAGAUGUACUUAAACUGCAGUGUUUUCUCACAAACAAAAAAGAGGAAGAAGAUCACCAAACUAUAGCACCAAUAUUGUAUCAAGUUGCACCAAGUUAUGAUAAAAAACUUGAAGGAUGAUUGAUUUUUCUCUCGUGUACCAGCCGAAUUUCAUAGCAGAAGCUUCGAAAGGAUUCUAAUG